This 500-nucleotide ribosomal RNA is filed under the name uncultured bacterium. RNAcentral's name for it is "partial 16S ribosomal RNA". It matches the Rfam family "Bacterial small subunit ribosomal RNA", at positions 29 to 523 of the family's 1533-position model. The record is from RNAcentral.
AUUGAACGCUGGCGGCAUGCCUUACACAUGCAAGUCGAGCGGCAGCGCGGGGGCAACCCUGGCGGCGAGCGGCGAACGGGUGAGUAAUACAUCGGAACGUGUCCAGUAGCGGGGGAUAACCUGUCGAAAGAUAGGCUAAUACCGCAUACGACCUACGGGUGAAAGCGGGGGACCGCAAGGCCUCGCACUAUUGGAGCGGCCGAUGUCGGAUUAGCUAGUUGGCGGGGUAAAAGCCCACCAAGGCGACGAUCCGUAGCUGGUCUGAGAGGACGAUCAGCCACACUGGAACUGAGACACGGUCCAGACUCCUACGGGAGGCAGCAGUGGGGAAUUUUGGACAAUGGGGGCAACCCUGAUCCAGCCAUGCCGCGUGAGUGAAGAAGGCCUUCGGGUUGUAAAGCUCUUUCGGUGAAGACAAAACGGUUCGUGCUAACAACGCGAACUAAUGACGGUACUCACAGAAGAAGCACCGGCUAACUACGUGCCAGCCGCCGCGGUAA